RNAcentral lists this ribosomal RNA (433 nucleotides) under uncultured bacterium. RNAcentral describes it as "partial 16S ribosomal RNA". It matches the Rfam family "Bacterial small subunit ribosomal RNA", at positions 29 to 507 of the family's 1533-position model. The record is from RNAcentral.
AACGAACGCUGGCGGCAGGCCUAACACAUGCAAGUCGAGCGCGCCCUUCGGGGUGAGCGGCGGACGGGUGAGUAACGCGUGGGAACGUGCCCUUCUCUGCGGAAUAGCCUCGGGAAACUGAGAGUAAUACCGCAUACGCCCUUUGGGGGAAAGAUUUAUCGGAGAAGGAUCGGCCCGCGUUGGAUUAGGUAGUUGGUGGGGUAAUGGCCCACCAAGCCGACGAUCCAUAGCUGGUUUGAGAGGAUGAUCAGCUACACUGGGACUGAGACACGGCCCAGCCUCCUACGGGAGGCAGCAGUGGGGAAUCUUAGACAAUGGGGGCAACCCUGAUCUAGCCAUGCCGCGUGAGUGAUGAAGGCCUUAGGGUUGUAAAGCUCUUUCAGCUGGGAAGAUAAUGACGGUACCAGCAGAAGAAGCCCCGGCUAACUCCGUG